GCUCGUAUAGCUCAGUCGGUUAGAGCGGUGGUCUUAUGCAUCGAGCAAGCCGCAGGUCCGGGGUUCGAGCCCCCGUACGAGCA
Molecule: transfer RNA, 83 nt
Organism: Volvox carteri f. nagariensis
Lineage: Eukaryota; Viridiplantae; Chlorophyta; Chlorophyceae; Chlamydomonadales; Volvocaceae
Rfam family: tRNA
About the family: Transfer RNA (tRNA) molecules are approximately 80 nucleotides in length. Their secondary structure includes four short double-helical elements and three loops (D, anti-codon, and T loops).
Source: Rfam